UCGAAUUAAAUGGAAGUCAAUUACUGAAAUAAAGUGCGGAAGACCAUAACAACCGAAUCAUCCAACUACAUCCCUGAAUCUGGUGUCACAAGUGUACGAGCUACUAGAAUUAUACAAAUAUAGGUCUGAAUAAAAUUCAAAUUAUUUGAAAGAUAAUACACAGCUAAGAUAAGAUAGAAGGAGACUUCAGAACUGCGGACGCUGUGCAGUUAUACCUCAAGUCUCCUCUGGGUAGCUGAAUCCGAGAAGUCUAUGGUACGUCGCUGGGACCAACUCCAAAAUCUGCACAAGAAGUACAGAAUGUAGUAUGAGUACAAUCAAUCCCAUGUACUCCGUAAGUGCCGAGCCUAACCUUGACAAAGUAGUGACGAGGCUAUAACAAGACACGUACGUAAAUAACAUGUACAAGCAUAUACAAAUACGAAGCAACAAUAAUACAAAAAUUAACAAUUUAUAAAUUUGGGAAGGAACAUACGAAGGGGAAUGAUAUAGAAAUUUCAGCAGGAGAAAUGUCACGUAGCAUCCAAUUAAUUCAUCAACAAUAAAAUGAGCAGCUGAUAAUAUGAAACUGGCACGGCACCACCCUUCGUGCUUUUACUCUCAUUCUUCCCAUAAAUUUAUAAAUAAAUAAUAAAAUUGGCACGGCAUCACCCUUCGUGCUUUAACUCUCUUCUGGCACGGCAUCACCUUUCGUGCUUUAACUCUCUUCUGGCACGGCAUCACCCUUUGUGCUUUUUUUCACUUUUUCUUACCAUGACAAGGAUAAUAUAAAUAAUAUAAAUGGUACGGCAUCACACUUCGUGCUUUUACACUCUUCCUUAUCAUGAAAAUAAUAAUAUAAAUUCGGAAGAGUAUUUAAAUGCGGGGAUAUAUACUUAUCAAUCAAUUCAAUACCAGAAUACCAACCUCACUUUCCAAAAUAUUCAACAAUAAUUAAACUAGCAAUAAUCUCAUGAAAAUUGAUCAAAUAAACAAUAAUAACUUAAGCAAGAAUAUCUUAAUUAAAUAGGUAAUUAUUCACAAUAAAUAAACUUUACUCGCAUGCUUUGACUCAACCACAAUGCAUAAGUACUCGUCACCUCACAUAUACAUUGUACCCGCACAUUAAAUCACGUAGCGAAUAGACAAAUAAGUCCUACUCCCUCAAGUCAAGGUUAACCAUGACACUUACCUCGCUUUGCAACCAACUCAAGAUUCCAAUAAACCUUUGCCUCGCAAAUUAUUGUCGGAAUGCCUCAAAUCUAGUCACAAACAAUUCAAUAUACUCAAUAUAAAUUAUAAAAACUAAUUCUAUAUGAAAAUACUAGAUUUUUCAAUCAAAAUCUGAAAUUCAAUUCAAAACCCGAUAGUGGGGUCCACGUCUCGAAAUCUGACAAAAGUUACAAAAUAUGAACGCCCAUUCAACCGAUGGUAAUUCAAUAUUAUUCACUAAUAAUGAUCACAAGUCACUUAUCUCAAGUUUUUCCCUGAAUUCUUGCUCAAAAAAUACCCCAACCCGUACUUGAAAUGUCCAAAAAUAAAAAAAAUCUAGGAACCCCUCUGGUUUUAACACUGCCAGUGUUUUCGCAUUUGCGAUGCAUUUGGCCGCAUCUGCGGUCUCGCAGAUGCGAGGGUGGAGGUCGCUUCUGCGAUUGGCUCGCUUCUGUGGACAAGAGUCCGCUUCUGCGGUUCAAGGCCCCUUAGCCCAGGCCGCAUCUGCGACCAUUGCAUCGCUUCUGCGGUCGCGCGUCUGCGAUGCCCCGUCCGCUUCUGCAGACCAUCCGCUUCUGCGAGGCCAGGCUUGCUUCCGCGAGCUCGCACCUGCUGUCAAAAAUCCGCAGGUGCGAUUGCACCAGAAGGCCAAAAUUUCAGAUUUUCCUUAAGUCCAAAUUUUGAUCCAUUAACCAUCCGGAUUCCACCCGAGGCCCCCGGGACCUCAACCAAAUACACCAACAAGUCCCAAAACAUCAUAUGAACUUAGUCGAAAUAUCAAAUCACAUCAAACAAUGCUAAAACCACGAAUCAUACCCCAAUUUAAACUUAAGAAUUUUUAACUUCUACAUUCGAUGCCGAAACCUAUCAAAUCAAGUCCGAUUAAAUUUUGCACACAAGUCUUAAAUGACAUAACGGACCUUUUUAGAACUAGAUUCCGACUCCGAUAUCAAUAAAAGUCAAUUUGUGGUCAAACUUUGAAAUCCUUAAGCCUUUAAGCUUCAAAUUUUCGUCAAAUGGCGAUAAUUCAAGCUAGGAACUUCCGAAUUUGAUUUCGGUCAUACGCCCAAGUCCCAAAUCACGAUACGGACCCAUCGAAAUCGUCAGAAUACUGAUCCGGGUCUGUUUGCUAAAAAUAUUGACCGAAGUCAACUUAGUUGAGUUUUAAAGCAUUAUUUCUCACUUUUAUCAAUUUUUCACAUAAAAGCUUUCCGAAAAAAUAUACGGACUGUGCACGCAAGUCGAGGAAUGCUAAGUGGUGCUAUUCGAGGUUUCAGAUCACAUAAAUGAAUAUUAAAUUUAAAAAUGACCUUUCGGGUUAUCACAUGUCCACGUUAUCUUUAUGAAUUCGGGCGACGGAUUUCGAAUCGCCUAAAAUUUUGUGGGCCAUCAGAAACGACCUAAUGAACAAUAGUCAUUAAUUCUUCAUGAAUGUUCCUCAUUUUUUGGCAUUUUAGGACUAUAAAACAGGAAUUUAUGACAAUUUUUAAUUUUGUGUGUACUAAUAUCCACGCCAUCUUCAUGAAAUCGGGCGACGGAUUUCGAAUCGCCUAAGAUUUUAUGGGCCCAUCAGAAAUGACCUAAUAAACAAUGGACAUUGCUUCACCAUGACUAUUCCUCAUUUUUUGGCAUUGUAGGGCCAGAAAAUAGAAAUUCACGACAGUUUCCAAAUUUUUAUGUGUUUAUGUCCGCGCUAUCUUCAUGAAUUCGGGCGACGGACUCCGAAUUACCUAAAUUUUUGUGGGCCCAUCAGAAAUGAUCUAAUGAACAAUAGUCAUAGUUUCUCCAUAAUCGUUUCUCGUUUUUUGGCGUUUUAGGGUCAUAAAAUCUGAAUUCACGGUGAUUUCCAUUUUUUCAUAUGCUAAUGUCUAUGCCAUUUUCAUGAAUUCGGGUGUCGGGCUCCGAAUUACCUAAACUUUUAUGGACCCUUCAGAAACGACCUAAUGACAAUAAUUAUAGUUUCGCCAUGAUCAUUUCUCUUUUUUUUGUUUUUUGGUUUUAGGGUAUACCCAAAAAUUUUGAGAAGCAAUGAGUAUUUAUCACUAGUCCGUUUCUUAUGGACCUGUGAAAUUUUAAAUCAAUCGGAGUUCGUAAAUUUUAUUUUUUUACAAAAUUAAUAUGUACUAAUACAUACGAAAAAGUGAAUAAUGACAAAUUCGUGUUGCAUGACUACAAAACACCAUAUAAUGAACAAGAAAGCCAUGACGAAGCAAUAAUUAUUGAUCACUAUGAAGGUUCAUAUAGACUUACGAAAUUUUAAACCAAUUGGAGUCUGUCGAAAAAAUUCUACAAAAGCAACAUGUACUAAUGCACAAGAAUAAGUGAAUAUAAUCACAAAUUUGUAUUGCAUGACCCCAAAAUACAAAAAAGAAAAUCCAAAAAUCAAGGCAGAGCGAUGAGAAUUGGUCAUUAGGUUGUUUUCUAUGGACCUACGAAAUUUCAGACCAUUCAGGGUCUAUAAAAAAUUUCUACUACUGUAAUAAAAAAUUCUAUUACAUUCGCAAUAGGAAAAAAGGAAGAGAAAAAGGAGUAAUGAGGAUUGAACUUUAACCUACUAUGAAAGGAUUUCCAUUAAUAACACGAUGGUUGGUGGAAGAAGAACUAAUAAAGGGGACAAUGAAUUCACGGUUAAAUUAAAUGAUAUAUAUUCUCAGUUUAAUUUUUAAUUACUAAAAUUAUAUUACUUGAUUUAAUAUAAACAUCAUGUGUUUGAUAGUUAUGAGUGCAUUUGCAUGAAUAAGUCAUUAAAUAUUAUCUUUCUUAAAGGCAUCUCGGAAAUUUCAUAAACUUAUGAAAUAUUUACAAAAAGAUCAAGACAUCAAGUAUUAUCUUUAUCAAAGCCGAAGUGAUCAAAAGACGUUUUCUCUCGAGAACAACUUAAAUAUAGUCGAACGCUUCUUGACAAUUAAAUACUUUAAAGAAAAAAAGUCAUUAUAAUCUGUAUCACUCUAUAAAUAAUGAAAGCAGGAACCCUAGAUGUGGGCAGAUUGACUUAAUAUUUCAAUAACAAUCAUGCCAACAAAUACAAAAUUUAUAUGGAAAUCCAUGAUAUUCAUUGCAUUGUGGUUCAGGGUUAAGUUCAUUAUAAUCAUUUAAGCACUGUGUAAUGCAACAAUUUUCAUCACAAUACUCGUAAUUGCAUGGACCUAAAUUCCCAGCACAACGAUAAUGGUAAUCAUCCACUUUUGUCGAAUUUAUUCCUCUAGCUAAAACCCUAGUCAUUUCCAUAGGAGCCAAAUUGCUAUUUCCCAUGCCAACUACAAUAAGAAGAAAAAAUAUGAAAAGCAAAAAAUGAAUCUUGAUAAAAAGAAUUAUAUGAUUAAAUGUAAAAUCAUAUAUAUGUAGGGUUCUUUUGAUUGAUGGUAUUGAGACAAUUGACCCUAGCAUGUAUAUUGUGUAUAAUUAGUAUAUAAUUUAUAUGUACUGGGUAAAAAAAGUAAACAUGAAUCGAGCCGGCUAUCUGUGUAAAGAAUCCAACAUAUACAACCUCUUGUUGACCAUAUAAAAAAAAAAUAAUCACCACAUAACUAACGCAAUAUUUGAUCGACGAUAUUAAAUGAUAUCAGUAUUAAUAGCUUGUUUGGCCAAGCUUCUCUUUUGGACAAAAGUGCUUUUUUUUAGUCAAAAAUGAUUUUUUGCCAAAAAUUUAAGGUGUUUGGCCAAGUUUUUUGAAGUAAAAAAAAAAGUGAUUUUGAGUAAAAGCAUAAGCAAUUUUGGAGAAGCAGAAAAAAGUAGCUUCUCUCCAAAAGCACUUUUGAGAAAAAUACACUUAGAAACACUUUUUAAAAACUUGGCCAAACACUGAUUGUUGCUCAAAAAUACUUUUCAAAUUAAUUAGCCAAACACAAAUUACUUUUUACCAAAAUUACUUUUUUUAAAAGCACUUUUGAGAAAAAUGCUUCUCAAAAUAAACAGAUUUUAGAAGUUUGGCCAAACAGGUUAUAAGUCAUGUGUGAAUCUAUUUAUUCUUUUAUGCAUGAUUGAAUGAGCAAUAAAAAUAUGUGUAUUAACAAUGCGGAAUUAAGUAUUAAUUUAAAGAUAAAAAUAUCCUUUUAAAAUAAGUAAUUUAUAUAACAAUCAUAACGUUAUUAAUCAUCCCAUAAACAAUCAAUCAUUAUAAUCCCAGCAUAAUUAAUAAGUGAACCAAGCGAUCCCAUAAAUGUCCUAAAUCAACAUUUCCUUAGCCUAUAAAUUAAUGACGGCUCAGAAGGCCUAGAUAUUAUUUUCCUAUCCCACACUAGCUUUCUUUAAAACCUAAUUUUUCUGUUCCAAUUCAUGCGGUACUUUUCGCUUUUCCAAAUUUAAACUAUGUAAUUUUAACCAUUAUUUUAAGAUGUACUAUUUUUAAAACAAAUUGGCAUGAAAAGAAUUACGACUUAUAUAGUACUUUUGUAUAGUUUUUGAGCGAAAAGUGCCAUAAAUUGAGACGGAGAGUACUUUUUAUUGAUAUUGAAUCACCAAUUCCUAUGGGAAUAAAAUCAGAUACUAGACCGAGAAAAAUGAAUUUUCCAAACUUUCCACCGGUAUGAACUGUAGUAAUUAUUUAAAACCAACUGAUGAACAUAUAUGAUGUCUUAAAAUGUAAAUUACAUUGAAGUUUGAAUCCAAAUAUAGCUGAACGAAUUUGAACUCUUAAAAGUUGUAAAAAUCGUAUAAAUAAUGUCAUUAAAUAGUAAUUUAAUGGUGUCAAAUAUUAUGAGACGCCAUAUAACAGAUAAUUUUAUCAGAAAAUAAAUACGCACCUGACAAAAAAAUGUGAAGAAGAAAGCAAACCGUUGUAGAAGGAAACAAAAUAGCCAUUCUGAGUUGUGAAAAAAAUGGUAUUGAUUUUGCAGUAGUUUUAUUUUUCUUGGAAAAGUUUGGCUAUAUAUUGCUGAGAAAUGUAUUAGGGUAUUGAUUGGAUAGGAUUUAGAGUCAAAAAAAGG
RNAcentral lists this long non-coding RNA (6116 nucleotides) under Nicotiana tabacum (common tobacco). Its description in RNAcentral is "long non-coding RNA (NTAB_LNC018597)". The record is from RNAcentral. Lineage: Eukaryota; Viridiplantae; Streptophyta; Magnoliopsida; Solanales; Solanaceae.